GUGUAAAACUUGAGAAAAAAAGGUUAAAUUACUAUUAUUUCUGCACAUUUUUAAUCAGGUUUCGAAUCAAUUGAUUAUCGAAAUACCCGACAUAUAGUUAUGACGUUUUCAUAAUGUAUAUAUCUACAGUAAUAAUGAACCUGAAAUCAACUUAUGGGUUGCAGUUUUAAAUAUACCAAAAGAUACCAAUGCAUAAAUUUAGUUGUGCUACAUUUAUAUACAAUCAAUUUAAACUAGCAAAUUCUAAAUAGAAUACAGUCAUGAGAGUGGAUAAAGUUCAUAUAAGUUACAUAUAUAGGGAAAUACCAAAAAGAGUUUGAAUGAUUCAUAUGGUGCAACGAGAAAAGCUUCAUACAUAUCUGGUUAACACCGCAAUAUAGCUAACUUUUUGAAAUGUUUUCAUAUAUGUAACUAGAAU
This 418-nucleotide long non-coding RNA is filed under the name Mytilus galloprovincialis (Mediterranean mussel). Lineage: Eukaryota; Metazoa; Mollusca; Bivalvia; Mytilida; Mytilidae. The record is from RNAcentral.